CCAGUGGCGCAAGGGUGAGUAAGGCGACGGUAACCAACCCCGGGAUUGGGCAUAGCCGCGGGAAACUGCGGGUAAUUCCCAGCGACGUCGGCGGAGGGCAUCCUCCGCCGACCAAAGCUCCGGCGUCGUGGGACGGGCUGUCGUGGUAUUAGCUAGUUGGCGGGGUAACGGCCCACCAAGGCGGUGAUGCCUACCGGGCGUGCGAGCGUGGCCCGGCACACUGGGACUGAGACACUGCCCAG
This 242-nucleotide ribosomal RNA is filed under the name uncultured bacterium. RNAcentral describes it as "partial 16S ribosomal RNA". It matches the Rfam family "Bacterial small subunit ribosomal RNA", at positions 92 to 334 of the family's 1533-position model. The record is from RNAcentral.